GGGCACUCUGGGGAGACUGCCAGGGAUAACCUGGAGGAAGGUGGGGAUGACGUCAAAUCAUCAUGCCCCUUAUGAUUUGGGCUACACACGUGCUACAAUGGCGUAAACAAAGGGAAGCGAGCCUGCGAAGGUAAGCAAAUCCCAAAAAUAACGUCCCAGUUCGGACUGCAGUCUGCAACUCGACUGCACGAAGCUGGAAUCGCUAGUAAUCGCGAAUCAGAAUGUCGCGGUGAAUACGUUCCCGGGUCUUGUACACACCGCCCGUCACACCAUGGGAGUCAGUAACGCCCGAA
Molecule: ribosomal RNA, 293 nt
Filed under: Florenciella parvula
Lineage: Eukaryota; Dictyochophyceae; Florenciellales
Description: partial Bacterial small subunit ribosomal RNA
Rfam family: Bacterial small subunit ribosomal RNA
Source: RNAcentral